This 305-nucleotide ribosomal RNA is filed under the name uncultured bacterium. RNAcentral's name for it is "bacterial SSU rRNA". It matches the Rfam family "Bacterial small subunit ribosomal RNA", at positions 338 to 660 of the family's 1533-position model. The record is from RNAcentral.
CCUACGGGAGGCAGCAGUGGGGAAUAUUGCACAAUGGGGGAAACCCUGAUGCAGCGACGCCGCGUGAAGGAUGAAGUAUUUCGGUAUGUAAACUUCUAUCAGCAGGGAAGAAAAUGACGGUACCUGACUAAGAAGCCCCAGCUAACUACGUGCCAGCAGCCGCGGUAAUACGUAGGGAGCGAGCGUUAUCCGGAAUUAUUGGGUGUAAAGGGUGCGUAGACGGGAAAACAAGUUAGUUGUGAAAUCCCUCGGCUUAACUGAGGAACUGCAACUAAAACUAUUUUUCUUGAGUGCAGGAGAGGUAA